GACGAACGCUGGCGGCGUGCUUAACACAUGCAAGUGGAGCGACGAACCAGGCUUCGGCCUGGGGCAGAGCCGCGAACGGGUGAGUAACACGUGGGUAACCCACCCCGAUGACCGGGACAACCCGAGGAAACUCGGGCUAAUACCGGAUGUACUGCACUCUCAUAAGUGAGUGCAGGAAAGAUAGCUUCGGCCUUCGCAUCGGGACGGGCCCGCGGCGCAUUAGCUUGUUGGUGGGGUAAAGGCCUACCAAGGCUACGAUGCGUAGCUGGUCUGAGAGGACGAUCAGCCACACUGGGACUGAGACACGGCCCAGACUCCUACGGGUGGCUG
RNAcentral lists this ribosomal RNA (330 nucleotides) under uncultured Actinomycetes bacterium. RNAcentral's name for it is "bacterial SSU rRNA". It matches the Rfam family "Bacterial small subunit ribosomal RNA", at positions 28 to 351 of the family's 1533-position model. The record is from RNAcentral. Lineage: Bacteria; Bacillati; Actinomycetota; Actinomycetes.